RNAcentral lists this small nucleolar RNA (98 nucleotides) under Vigna radiata var. radiata (mung bean). Its description in RNAcentral is "Small nucleolar RNA Z157/R69/R10". It matches the Rfam family "Small nucleolar RNA Z157/R69/R10". From Rfam's summary of the family: Z157, R69 and R10 are members of the C/D class of snoRNA which contain the C (UGAUGA) and D (CUGA) box motifs. Most of the members of the box C/D family function in directing site-specific 2'-O-methylation of substrate RNAs. Lineage: Eukaryota; Viridiplantae; Streptophyta; Magnoliopsida; Fabales; Fabaceae. The record is from Rfam by way of RNAcentral.
UGGCGUGCUAUGACGAGGCAAAUUUGUGGACUAGAGUUUCUGAUCUGGGAAUAUACUCAGAAGUUGAUUAUGAAACCCUUGGCUGUCUGAGCAUACCA